GCCUCGAUAGCUUAGUUGGUAUAGCGGCCGCCUCGUAAGCGGCAGAUCGAGGGUUCAAAUCCCUCUCGGGGCU
Molecule: non-coding RNA, 73 nt
Organism: Thermoplasmatales archaeon
Lineage: Archaea; Methanobacteriati; Thermoplasmatota; Thermoplasmata; Thermoplasmatales
Source: Rfam